This 451-nucleotide long non-coding RNA is filed under the name Rattus norvegicus (Norway rat). Its description in RNAcentral is "long non-coding RNA NONRATT032801". The record is from RNAcentral. Lineage: Eukaryota; Metazoa; Chordata; Mammalia; Rodentia; Muridae.
UGUGUGUAUAGCUUGUGGUGGCAUAUACAUUUUAUGCAAAUGAAUAAUCUCUAGAAAGAUUUCCUAUUCACUUAAAAUAUAUCCCAAACUACUUUGUUCCAGCCACUGAAAACAGAAAAUAAACAAGAGAUGUUUCUAGUAAUCUACUUCUGGAGAUUGCCACACAGGAAUUUUUUUAAGGCUUCCAUUUAUAACUUUUCAAGAUUUCAGCUCCAUCCCUAAAAGCCGAACUCCAUUCACAUCAGACAGUAUUUUGUAUGUGAGCUCCAUGAUUAUGCGGAAGCCUUGCUGAAGGGAACAGAGGUUACCUUGACAUGACCUUAAGUGAGUCACUUUUCCUCUCUCUGGUUCCAUUCUGUCAGUGAUCAAAUUAAACCAGUUAACCUGCUCCAAGACGUGAUCGUGAGGAGUUGAUGUGAGAACUGUGGGUAAUCCUGAGGAGAAAACUCAG